CAUAACUCCCCCCAAACCCCCCCACAUCGCCCCAUAAACCGCCCCAUAAUCUCCCACAGCCUCUCUCAUCCCCCGAUUUUCCCUUUUAUUCCCCGCUUUUUCCCUUUUUCUCCUUAUUUUUACCCAUUUCUCACCUCCCUCAGCGCUCCCUCAGCGCCCGCCGCCUCCUCAGCUCCUCACGUCGCCCUCUCAUUGGUCGCUUCCCCCGUCCGUCCCGCCUGACAGCCAAUCAGCGCCCGAGUCGGGCCUCAGAGGGCGGGACAGCGCUUCUCCUCGCCCAUUGGUCUAGGCACACGUCCGUUUUAACUUUCAGCCAGUCAGCGCUCGAGUCCGUGUUUAGAAGGCGGGGCGCAUUCGCAGCCUGCAGGAGGGCGUAACGCACCGCGCCUUUCUAUUGGCUGUUCGCCUCGUCCAUCCCCUCCUCACAACCAAUCAGCGCCGGCAUCGCCACCAAGAAGGUGGAGAUUCCCCUUUUAACCAUCCCGCCACGCUCUACGCCCCCUCUAUUGGCUGCGCCCCGCGUCCAUCACUCCUCACAGCCAAUCAACGCCCGGAUCGCCCCUCGGAGGGCGGGGCGCGGGCGCCAUGUUGGGGCGGGCGCCAUUUUGGCGGCGACCCCCUCAGGGGUUCGAUGGACGCGGGGCUGCAGGAACGAGCGGCGGCGCUGCUGAGGAGGAGUGAAGCCGUGCUGAAGCAGCGCCCACAGACGCCCCGGACCCACACAGCCCCGCCCCCUAGUGGGCGUGGCCAGGAGCGUUGUGGGCGGAGCCUGGAGGAGGACCCACUGCAGCGCUGGAGGGCGGAAAGGAGGCGGGGCUUGGCGGAAGCCCCGCCCCUUGUGACGUCAGCGUGGAAGCGGAGCCAAUCCCUGGAGGCGGUGCGGGGGGCGGAGCCACGGCCCCGAAGGAACCAAUCCCAUGAGGACCUCUCGCCAUCGCCGUGGGGCAGCGCCGUGGGGCAGGAGGCAGCUGCCAUCGAACUGCUGCAGGAAGCACUGGAUUCGGACGAGGCGGAAGCGCCUGGGGAUGCGGUGCUGCGGGCGCUGCGGGAUCGACGGCGGGCGCUGCGGGGGAUGCUGAGAGCCGUGGAGACGCUGUUGGCCACCUCCGGACCCGAAGUUUUGGGACCACAGUAAAAGUUCUGCACCGUUUUGCCGCAUUUCUCCGUUUUUCACCCCAAAAUCCCCCAGAAUGGCGUCGGUCCCUCCGGACUACAAUUCCCAUCUGCCCCUGCGCGCUAAGCCACGCCCCGAAUGCUGCUGUCCAAUCACACUUCGGCUUAUAGCCACGCCCCCAAGCUACUGGCCAAUAAUACUUAGUUUUAGUCUCGCCCUGACACGCUGUCCACUGGCAUUUCCGGUUUAAGCCACGCCCCCAAAUAAUGCCCAACUACACUUCCUCUUUAGGCCACGCCUCCGCGCUUUUGUCCAAUCAGACUUCCGCUGCCAGCGACGCGCCAAACCUGCAAUGCAACGUUACUUCCGCUUUAAGCCACGCCCCCUGGGCUACAUCUCAUACUUCCGCUUUAAGCCCCGCCUCCAGACCCUACAGGUAGCGCACUUCCGCUCCAAGCCACGCCCCCUGCGUUUCAUCCCUCCCACUUCCGUUUCCCCAGCCCAACAUCUCCCCCACUUCCGCUGCAAGCCCCGCCCCCCCAGCCUACACUUCCCAUCAGCCCCCUCGCCGCCGCCGCCAUUUUGUCUCCUCCCCGCCUUCCCGCCCGCCGCCAUCUUGUCCCCGCCCCUUUCCCUCUCAUCCCCUCAUGGUGCCGCGAUGGCGGCGGUGGAGGCGGAGCUGCAGCGUUGGGCCCGGCACGAAAUGGGGCUCCCGGACGGUCCCGCACC
Molecule: long non-coding RNA, 1843 nt
Organism: Numida meleagris (helmeted guineafowl)
Lineage: Eukaryota; Metazoa; Chordata; Aves; Galliformes; Numididae
Source: Ensembl